Molecule: ribosomal RNA, 253 nt
Filed under: uncultured bacterium
Lineage: Bacteria
Description: partial 16S ribosomal RNA
Rfam family: Bacterial small subunit ribosomal RNA
Source: RNAcentral
UACGUAGGGUGCAAGCGUUGUCCGGAAUUAUUGGGCGUAAAGAGCUCGUAGGCGGUCUGUUACGUCGGCUGUGAAAACUCAGGGCUUAACCCUGAGCCUGCUUCCGAUACGGGCAGACUAGAGGUAUGCAGGGGAGAACGGAAUUCCUGGUGUAGCGGUGAAAUGCGCAGAUAUCAGGAGGAACACCGGUGGCGAAGGCGGUUCUCUGGGCAUUACCUGACGCUGAGGAGCGAAAGUGUGGGGAGCGAACAGG